RNAcentral lists this ribosomal RNA (445 nucleotides) under uncultured bacterium. RNAcentral describes it as "SSU rRNA". It matches the Rfam family "Bacterial small subunit ribosomal RNA", at positions 26 to 518 of the family's 1533-position model. The record is from RNAcentral.
AGAGCGAACGCUGGCGGCAGGCCUAACACAUGCAAGUCGAGCGCCCGUAGCAAUACGGGAGCGGCAGACGGGAUAGUAACACGUGGGAACGCGCCCUUCGGUUCGGAAUAACUCAGGGAAACUUGAGCUAAUACCGGAUACGCCCUUACGGGGAAAGAUUUAUUGCCGAAGGAACGGCCCGCGUCCGAUUAGCUAGUUGGUGAGGUAAUGGCUCACCAAGGCGACGAUCGGUAGCUGGUCUGAGAGGAUGACCAGCAUCACUGGGACUGAGACACGGCCCAGACUCCUACGGGAGGCAGCAGUGGGGAAUAUUGGACAAUGGCGCAAGCCUGAUCCAGCAAUGCCGCGUGAGUGAAGAAGGUCUUCGGAUUGUAAAGCUCUUUCGACGGGGACGAUGAUGACGGUACCGUAGAAGAAGCCCCGGCUAACUCGCGCCAGCAGCCGC